Molecule: ribosomal RNA, 415 nt
Filed under: Candidatus Ehrlichia rustica
Lineage: Bacteria; Pseudomonadati; Pseudomonadota; Alphaproteobacteria; Rickettsiales; Anaplasmataceae
Description: partial 23S ribosomal RNA
Rfam family: Bacterial large subunit ribosomal RNA
Source: RNAcentral
UCUGAAUGGGGAAACCUAAUCAAUUUAUUGAUUAUUGCAUAUUGAAUACAUAGAUAUGUAAAGCAAACCUGGUGAACUGAAAUAUCUCAGUAGCUAGAGGAAAGGAAAUCAAAAGAGACUCCGUUAGUAGUGACGAGCGAACGCGGAUCAGGCCAGUGGUUUAUAGUUAAAAAUUAGAAUACUUUGGAAAGAGUAGCCAUAGAUGGUGAUAGCCCAGUAUAAGUAAAAAGAUUAUAGAUCCUUGAGUAGGGCGGGACACGUGAAAUCCUGUUUGAAGAUGGGGGGACCAUCCUCCAAGCCUAAGUACUCCUUAACGACCGAUAGUGGACAAGUACCGUGAGGGAAAGGUGAAAAGAACCCCGGGAGGGGAGUGAAAUAGACCCUGAAAUCGAUAUGGCUUACAACCAGUUGGAGC